GAGAGAUCCAUUAGACAUGAAAUCAUAUACGAGAGCACGUUUAGAUUUCUCAGCAUAAAAACCAACAAGACGAACCACAUUAAUGUGACGAAUUCUCCCAAUUGUAGCAACUUCAUUGAUGAAGUCUCGACCGUUACCUUUGGACAUGUUCAACAUUUUUACUGCAGCAAAAUUACCAGCCUUUAGACAUGUUCAACAUUUUCACUGCAGCAAAAUUACCACUCCGGAGUUUUCCUUUGUAUACAGAGCCAAAACCUCCUUCUCACAGCUUUUCUUUGAGACCGUUUGUUAUCUUUUUUAUUUCUGAGUAAGAGGAUCUAAUUGGGAAGAGAUUGUCAUAACUUUGAAGAAACUCUUCAAUAUUAUCAUAUUUUGAUAAAUGUCUCCUUUGCCAUUUAUAAAUCAAAAAGGAGAAAAGACCUAUUAUCCCACAUAAG
RNAcentral lists this long non-coding RNA (437 nucleotides) under Jatropha curcas. RNAcentral's name for it is "long non-coding RNA (JCUR_LNC000675)". Lineage: Eukaryota; Viridiplantae; Streptophyta; Magnoliopsida; Malpighiales; Euphorbiaceae. The record is from RNAcentral.